Molecule: transfer RNA, 87 nt
Filed under: Chitinophagales bacterium
Lineage: Bacteria; Pseudomonadati; Bacteroidota; Chitinophagia; Chitinophagales
Description: tRNA-Ser
Rfam family: tRNA
About the family: Transfer RNA (tRNA) molecules are approximately 80 nucleotides in length. Their secondary structure includes four short double-helical elements and three loops (D, anti-codon, and T loops).
Source: RNAcentral
GGUGAGGUGGGUGAGUGGCUUAAACCACCAGUUUGCUAAACUGACGUACGGGAAACUGUACCGAGGGUUCGAAUCCCUCCCUCACCG